RNAcentral lists this transfer RNA (79 nucleotides) under Chromatiaceae bacterium. Its description in RNAcentral is "tRNA-Leu". The record is from RNAcentral. Lineage: Bacteria; Pseudomonadati; Pseudomonadota; Gammaproteobacteria; Chromatiales; Chromatiaceae.
GUUUUUUAACGCAGAAACUUGGACUUAAAAUCCGCCGGUUAUUGCAACCGUGCCGGUUCGAUCCCGGCUCUGGGCACCA